RNAcentral lists this ribosomal RNA (513 nucleotides) under uncultured bacterium. RNAcentral describes it as "partial 16S ribosomal RNA". It matches the Rfam family "Bacterial small subunit ribosomal RNA", at positions 28 to 523 of the family's 1533-position model. The record is from RNAcentral.
GACGAACGCUGGCGGCAUGCCUAAUACAUGCAAGUCGAGCGAACAGAUGAAGUGCUUGCACUUCUGACGUUAGCGGCGAACGGGUGAGUAACACGUAAGGAAUCUACCUAUAAGCGGGGGAUAACAUUCGGAAACGGGUGCUAAUACCGCAUAAUAUCUUCUUCCGCAUGGAAGAAGAUUGAAAGACGGCUCUGCUGUCACUUAUAGAUGACCUUGCGGUGCAUUAGUUAGUUGGUGGGGUAACGGCCUACCAAGACGAUGAUGCAUAGCCGACCUGAGAGGGUGAUCGGCCACAGUGGGACUGAGACCCGGCCCAAACUCCUACGGGAGGCAGCAGUAGGGAAUCUUCCGCAAUGGGCGAAAGCCUGACGGAGCAAUGCCGCGUGAGUGAAGAAGGCCUUCGGGUCGUAAAACUCUGUUAUAAGAGAAGAACAAAUUGUAGAGUAACUGCUACAGUCUUGACGGUAUCUUAUCAGAAAGCCACGGCUAACUACGUGCCAGCCGCCGCAGUAA